AACCAAGAUUCCAAAAACACAAUCAAAAACUGAAAAUAAAGUACAGGAAAUAAAAAUGAACACAAGGAUUUUUCGGCCAAAGCCCCAAAGGUUCGGCGACCACUUUUAACGUCUAAUCCCUUGUUGAGCAUCCAUUAAAAAUGGAUAAAGCUCGAUUGCACUAUAAAGCCCCAAAAAUAGGCAACAAAUUACAAUAAUGUUCCAGCAAUUUACAACAAAGAACCAAGUACAGGACUUAUCUUUGCUAGAACAACAAUAGCAAACACUACUAACCAUAGGAAUCAAUCUUGAUCGCAAAGAAGAUCAACCAAUACAGAUUUUUGCCCUCUGAGCUGCCCACUCUCAAAUCACUUAGAUUCAAAUGUUUAUUAUACAGCAAGUCACUUUCGACAAAGGAAACAAUUGAGAUCCCCAAAAAAUCAAACUACUCCUCUAAAAUCACUUCGCAUAAGACACAUAAAAACAGAAUAAAUCGUGCCCCACGGAGGAAUGUAUGUAUCUAUUGUAUUACUUGAGUUUUCUGGUAAUUUUUCAACAAAAAACCUUCAAGAAUCCAAACCCUAAUCACUCAAGAAGAGGGAAUUUUCGUAACAGAGAAGAGAAGUGAAGUGAAAGAAGAGAGAGAGAGAGACUUUUCUUUUCUUCAAAGUGCACGUGAGAGAGAGAGAGAGAGAGAGAGAGAGAGUAAUUUAUGGAAGAAAAAAAAUCUUUGCCUCAUU
RNAcentral lists this long non-coding RNA (719 nucleotides) under Olea europaea subsp. europaea. The record is from RNAcentral. Lineage: Eukaryota; Viridiplantae; Streptophyta; Magnoliopsida; Lamiales; Oleaceae.